RNAcentral lists this ribosomal RNA (226 nucleotides) under uncultured bacterium. RNAcentral describes it as "partial 16S ribosomal RNA". It matches the Rfam family "Bacterial small subunit ribosomal RNA", at positions 524 to 747 of the family's 1533-position model. The record is from RNAcentral.
UACGUAGGGUGCAAGCGUUAAUCGGAAUUACUGGGCGUAAAGCGUGCGCAGGCGGUUUUGUAAGUUUGUCGUGAAAUCCCCGGGCUCAACCUGGGAAUGGCGAUGAAGACUGCAAGGCUAGAAUCUGGCAGAGGGGGGGUAGAAUUCCACGUGUAGCAGUGAAAUGCGUAGAGAUGUGGAGGAACACCGAUGGCGAAGGCAGCCUCCUGGGCCAGCACUGACCGCU